Molecule: long non-coding RNA, 536 nt
Organism: Oncorhynchus tshawytscha (Chinook salmon)
Lineage: Eukaryota; Metazoa; Chordata; Actinopteri; Salmoniformes; Salmonidae
Source: Ensembl
GUCUGUUACCAGGGUUAAGGAAUAGGUCUGUUACCAGGGUUAAAUAGGUAUUUAAGGAUAGGUCUGUUACCAGGGUUAGGGAUAGGAUUGUUACCAGGGUUAAGGAAUAGGUAUUUAAGGAUAGGUCUGUUACCAGGGUUAGGGAUAGGAUUUUUACCAGGGUUAAGGAAUAGGUCUUUAAGGAUAGGUCUGUUGACAGGGUUAGGGAUAGGUCUGUUGCCGGGGUUAAGGAAUGGGUCUUUAUUGAUAGGUCUGUUACCAGGGUAGGGGAUAGGAUUGUUACCAAGGUUAAUAACAUGAUCCCUCACUGACCCUAGAGGUUCAAUGGUGAUGGAAGUCAUUACUAACAUGAUCCCUCACUGACCCUAGAGGUACAAUGGUGAUGGAAGUCAUUACUAACAUGAUCCCUCACUGACCCUAGAGGUUCAAUGGUGAUGGAAGUCAUUACUAACAUGAUCCCUCACUGACCCUAGAGGUUCCAUGGUGAUAAGUCAUUACUAACAUGAUCCCUCACUGACCCUAGAGGUUCCAUGGUG